RNAcentral lists this ribosomal RNA (301 nucleotides) under Anopheles maculatus. RNAcentral's name for it is "partial large subunit ribosomal RNA". It matches the Rfam family "Eukaryotic large subunit ribosomal RNA", at positions 687 to 944 of the family's 3401-position model. Lineage: Eukaryota; Metazoa; Arthropoda; Insecta; Diptera; Culicidae. The record is from RNAcentral.
GGUGUCGCGUGGUGCCAUCGUGCACUGCGCACAGUGUAAACCCCAAAGGCGUAGACAAAUCGAUCAAGUCAUGGGAUUACGGGCUCGGCACGGGCGCAAGCCUUCGUCGGGCCCCUCCAUCCCGGGGUGUCCCACCAACCGGGCCUCCGGGCCCGUUGUGGGCAUCCCUCGAGUGCGUAGGAUGCGACCCGAAAGAUGGUGAACUAUGCCUGAUCAGGCCGAAGUCAGGGGAAACCCUGAUGGAGGGCCGAAGCAAUUCUGACGUGCAAAUCGAUGUCAGAGUGCGAACAAUCGAACCAUC